Molecule: transfer RNA, 77 nt
Filed under: Betaproteobacteria bacterium SG8_40
Lineage: Bacteria; Pseudomonadati; Pseudomonadota; Betaproteobacteria
Also listed under: 6 other names
Description: tRNA-Met
Rfam family: tRNA
About the family: Transfer RNA (tRNA) molecules are approximately 80 nucleotides in length. Their secondary structure includes four short double-helical elements and three loops (D, anti-codon, and T loops).
Source: RNAcentral
GGGCCUGUAGCUCAGUUGGUUAGAGCAGAGGACUCAUAAUCCUUUGGUCCUGGGUUCGAGUCCCAGCGGGCCCACCA